This 71-nucleotide transfer RNA is filed under the name Rhinogobius formosanus. RNAcentral describes it as "tRNA-Arg". It matches the Rfam family "tRNA". Rfam says of the family: Transfer RNA (tRNA) molecules are approximately 80 nucleotides in length. Their secondary structure includes four short double-helical elements and three loops (D, anti-codon, and T loops). Further hydrogen bonds mediate the characteristic L-shaped molecular structure. tRNAs have two regions of fundamental functional importance: the anti-codon, which is responsible for specific mRNA codon recognition, and the 3' end, to which the tRNAs corresponding amino acid is attached (by aminoacyl-tRNA synthetases). tRNAs cope with the degeneracy of the genetic code in two manners: having more than one tRNA (with a specific anti-codon) for a particular amino acid; and 'wobble' base-pairing, i.e. permitting non-standard base-pairing at the 3rd anti-codon position. Lineage: Eukaryota; Metazoa; Chordata; Actinopteri; Gobiiformes; Gobiidae. The record is from RNAcentral.
UAGGUAAUUAUUUUAAUUAAAAUAUUUGAUUUCGGCUCAAAAGCUCGUGGUUAAAGUCCACAAUUACCUAA